AAAGAACUACAAAGAAGCAGCCUCUUCACCACCAACGAGUGUUAUUGAAAUAUACAUGAAUGUAUACGUAACUCAUAAUGACUUGCCAUCUGCUCAUAUAUAUUCAAACUGAAGCACAGCUACCAAAUCCCAACACACACAGGACCCAGGUUUUGGGACAUAAGGAUUGAAAGGCCAUAAAAGACCAAGAACUACUGCUGUAACAAUUGUGAGGAGAAGCACUGGUUCCUCUCUAAAUCAAUUAGCCCAAGUACAGGUGUUGCCUCACCUGUACCCAUUUCUCAGACUACCAGUGUUUGUUCA
Molecule: non-coding RNA, 303 nt
Organism: Pogona vitticeps (central bearded dragon)
Lineage: Eukaryota; Metazoa; Chordata; Lepidosauria; Squamata; Agamidae
Source: RefSeq, a predicted model, not a curated record